CGCUGAAGAGAGGAGCUUGCUCUUCUUGGAUGAGUUGCGAACGGGCGAGUAACGCGUAGGUAACCUGCCUUGUAGCGGGGGAUAACUAUUGGAAACGAUAGCUAAUACCGCAUAACAAUGGAUGACACAUGUCAUUUAUUUGAAAGGGGCAAUUGCUCCACUACAAGAUGGACCUGCGUUGUAUUAGCUAGUAGGUGAGGUAACGGCUCACCUAGGCGACGAUACAUAGCCGACCUGAGAGGGUGAUCGGCCACACUGGGACUGAGACACGGCCCAGACUCCUACGGGAGGCAGCAGUAGGGAAUCUUCGGCAAUGGGGGCAACCCUGACCGAGCAACGCCGCGUGAGUGAAGAAGGUUUUCGGAUCGUAAAGCUCUGUUGUAAGUCAAGAACGAGUGUGAGAGUGGAAAGUUCACACUGUGACGGUAGCUUACCAGAAAGGGACGGCUAACUACGUGCCAGCAGCCGCGGUAAUACGUAGGUCCCGAGCGUUGUCCGGAUUUAUUGGGCGUAAAGCGAGCGCAGGCGGUUUGAUAAGUCUGAAGUUAAAGGCUGUGGCUCAACCAUAGUUCGCUUUGGAAACUGUCAAACUUGAGUGCAGAAGGGGAGAGUGGAAUUCCAUGUGUAGCGGUGAAAUGCGUAGAUAUAUGGAGGAACACCGGUGGCGAAAGCGGCUCUCUGGUCUGUAACUGACGCUGAGGCUCGAAAGCGUGGGGAG
This 718-nucleotide ribosomal RNA is filed under the name uncultured Streptococcaceae bacterium. RNAcentral describes it as "bacterial SSU rRNA". It matches the Rfam family "Bacterial small subunit ribosomal RNA", at positions 65 to 768 of the family's 1533-position model. Lineage: Bacteria; Bacillati; Bacillota; Bacilli; Lactobacillales; Streptococcaceae. The record is from RNAcentral.